GACAGAGGUGCCAAGCGUUAGGCGGAAUCACUGGGCUUAAAGCGUGUGUAGGCGGAUCGUUAAGUACCUUGUGAAAUCCCACGGCUCAACCGUGGAACUGCUGGGUAUACUGGCGAUCUUGAGCCACCUAGGGGCGAGCGGAACAAGCGGUGGAGCGGUGAAAUGCGUAGAUAUCGCUUGGAACGCCAAAGGUGAAGACAGGUCGCUGGGGGUGUGCCGACGCUGAGACGCGAAAGCCAGGGGAGCAAACGGG
This 253-nucleotide ribosomal RNA is filed under the name uncultured bacterium. Its description in RNAcentral is "partial 16S ribosomal RNA". It matches the Rfam family "Bacterial small subunit ribosomal RNA", at positions 524 to 776 of the family's 1533-position model. The record is from RNAcentral.